AAGCUCGUAGUUGAAUUUCGGGAUCAGACUGUCGGUCGUGCCUCGGUACGCACUGGCAUUAUUGGUUCCUACCUUCUGAAGAACCGCGAUGUCAUUAAUUUGGUGUCGCGGGGAAUCAGGACUGUUACUUUGAAAAAAUUAGAGUGUUUAAAGCAAGCUAACGCUUGAAUACAUUAGCAUGGAAUAAUGAAAUAGGACGUUCGAUCCUAUUUUGUUGGUUUCUAGGAUUGACGUAAUGAUUAAUAGGGAUAGUUGGG
This 257-nucleotide ribosomal RNA is filed under the name uncultured Glomus. Its description in RNAcentral is "partial 18S ribosomal RNA". It matches the Rfam family "Eukaryotic small subunit ribosomal RNA", at positions 624 to 886 of the family's 1831-position model. The record is from RNAcentral. Lineage: Eukaryota; Fungi; Glomeromycota; Glomeromycetes; Glomerales; Glomeraceae.